This is a non-coding RNA of Odocoileus virginianus texanus, 542 nucleotides long. The record is from RefSeq and is a predicted model, not a curated record. Lineage: Eukaryota; Metazoa; Chordata; Mammalia; Artiodactyla; Cervidae.
ACAAGGAUGUGAAUACCAGAAACUGGGAUUACUGGAAGAAUCUUAGAGGCUAGUUUUCACAGAGUGGAGUGUUAAGAGAUGACACCAAAAGAAGAUGGCCUUAAGGACCAAGGAACUUAGGUUUAUUGAGAGUUAAGAACUUUAAGAUGUUAGAACAUCUUACUGCUCCACUGGAAAGAGUAGGCCACAGGAAGUCAGGAAAUAGCCCUGAAAUGGCAUCUUUCCAGCAAAAACAAUUCCACAAGGCCUUCCCUUAACUCCCCCACCCAGAGAUGCUCCUCCUCUCCUUGAAAGGAUCAAUACUGGUUAACUACAGAAUUGUCACAGUGGCCCCUUGGCGGUAUGGAGUGCAGCUAUGAAUGCUUUGGGAUCACUGUCCACCCAGUCCCACCCUGAAAGUUACCCUAGAAUACACUGAUCCACUGAUUAUAUGGAACUGUCUGUCUCAUUUUUUUGGUCUCAGGAGGUCUUCUCAGUUCAGUGGGCACUUUUCAUUCCCUUUGUCCUUGGACAGCAAGGAGAUCCAACCAGUCCAUACUAAA